Sarcophilus harrisii (Tasmanian devil) is the source of this 512-nucleotide long non-coding RNA. RefSeq lists it as uncharacterized. NCBI's taxonomy places the organism in Eukaryota, Metazoa, Chordata, Mammalia, Dasyuromorphia, Dasyuridae. The record is from RefSeq and is a predicted model, not a curated record. The transcript is spliced from 2 exons.
AGGUGGGCUUUGGCCAGGCACAGUUUUACUUGGCUGGUGGCUACCUAAGAACCUUGGGGCCUGGCAGUGUUAAUCUGCGGAAUCAAAGAUGCCAGCAUUCCCACCCAACAUCCCACGGAAACAGAGACGUCGGGGCAAACGCCGCAGGCGACGAAGAAACAUCCGCCCCAAGACCCCAGUGCCAGUGCAGGAGAUUUCUCAGGCUCUACCACAAAGAACAAGAGAGGCGCUUCCAAGUCCUACGGAAAUCAUGGAAAUCACCCUGAUGAUCUCCUUCUAAUAAUCAGCCAGAAGAGGAAGAUAAUCAGGCCAGGAUGCAAAUCAAGUAGUCGGUAAGAAUAAAGCAAGAAAUAGAAGAGAUCUUCAUCAGAAGUCUGACAUCAUCAACACUCAGUGGCUACGAACAUAGACACUGAUAUUAGGAAAGAGACUGACUUUACUAUAAAACUAAGACAAAGGAUAACAGAAACAGAUGUGGCCUAUAAUAAAAAAAAGCCUUACAACAUGAUCCA